UUAUAGCUUGCUAUGAUAGAAAUUAGUGGCAGACGGGUGAGUAAUGCAUAGGAAUCUACCUAGUAGUAUGGGAUAGCCACUAGAAAUGGUGGGUAAUACUGUAUAAUCCCUGCGGGGGAAAGAUUUAUCGCUAUUAGAUGAGCCUAUGUUAGAUUAGCUAGUUGGUAGGGUAAAGGCCUACCAAGGCAGUGAUCUAUAGCUGGUCUGAGAGGAUGAUCAGCCACACUGGAACUGAGAUACGGUCCAGACUCCUACGGGAGGCAGCAGUGGGGAAUAUUGGACAAUGGGCGCAAGCCUGAUCCAGCUAUGCCGCGUGAGUGAGGAAGGCCUUAGGGUUGUAAAACUCUUUCAGUGGGGAAGAUAAUGACGGUACCCACAGAAGAAGUCCCGGCAAACUCCGUGCCAGCAGCCGCGGUAAUACGGAGGGGGCAAGCGUUGUUCGGAAUUAUUGGGCGUAAAGGGCAUGUAGGCGGUUCGGUAAGUUAAAGGUGAAAUGCCAGGGCUUAACCCUGGAGCUGCUUA
This 522-nucleotide ribosomal RNA is filed under the name uncultured Anaplasma sp. RNAcentral describes it as "bacterial SSU rRNA". It matches the Rfam family "Bacterial small subunit ribosomal RNA", at positions 73 to 627 of the family's 1533-position model. Lineage: Bacteria; Pseudomonadati; Pseudomonadota; Alphaproteobacteria; Rickettsiales; Anaplasmataceae. The record is from RNAcentral.